AGGUGGGAACAGGCAAGAAAACCUGGACCUGCGUGCUCUGAGGCUGCCCGACCCUGAGCUCCAGAACAGACCAUCGAGUUCAGGAGACAAGCAUGUCAGCCAUGACACAAGGCAGAUGAGAGGGACCCCCAGCGUCCACACGUGGAGGCAGCGGGGGCAGCCGAUCCAUACAAACAGGCUGACCAUCAGGGCUGGUCCCAGGCCACCAGGCUGGGUGCAAUGCAGAAAUGGAGAUCUGCCCCGGGGAAGGCAGGUGAGUGUAGGAAGGAGGGAGGGCUGCGAGAAGCUGGGGGCAGCCUCCAUCCCCCUGUGGCCUGGGUGGGCCUGUGCCCCCCCAA
This 338-nucleotide long non-coding RNA is filed under the name Homo sapiens (human). Its description in RNAcentral is "ITGB2 antisense RNA 1". Lineage: Eukaryota; Metazoa; Chordata; Mammalia; Primates; Hominidae. The record is from RNAcentral.